GUCAAGUGAGCAUGCAUUUGGAGUGCAGGAAGGAGCAGUGAGAAGUGAACUAUCAAUCAGUUUGUGUUUGGGCUGUCCAAGUAGCAUCUUUCUGUUUUCUGGGGGGACGUGGGCAUACUGGGCAGUGCUUCUGCUGCCUGCUGGUGUCUGUGAAAUCAACACACCAUCUGUUGUUGUAGGGACGGAGCCUGCGCGUCCAUGGAGUGGUGCUGGGCAAGGCUGGAAACGCAAAGCCUCCGCAGGUAAGAAGCUCUUGCGAGCUGUGCUGACUGCAGAAGCGGCAUAAUGUAGCAGCAGAAAGGCAAGCUGAAGAAACUGCUCUUGAAGACCAGAAGAUUGUGGUUGGCUAUGCUCAAAUCUUCCGCCACAGAGAUGCUCUUCAUGUCUUUCUUGUCUCCUUUCUGCCAGAAGCUGAUGCGAGCGGCCUUCCAGCAAAGCGCAGCCUUGCAGAAAGGCCAGGCAGAAGCGCCCAGUGUGGCACAGCACCAAAGAGAGGUACAGACACACAGCAGGCACCUGGGCUUGGUGCACUGUCUCUCUAGUGAAACUUUCUGUCCGUCCUUUCCUGGGACUGUGGACGUUGUGUGUUGGUUCUGGUCUUAAUCCCUGCAUUUACAUUUAGUAUUCCUGUGCUGCUUAGAAAUGUGACCCCACAGUUCAGCCGAGAUCCUAUGAUCCAUGACCGUGAGCACUCGAGAUGAGAUGUCCCAGGAUUGUGACCCGUUUUGCUGACUGAAAGUAGUGGCGGGCUCUCAUUAAAUCUCCUUGUUUUUGCUUUCUUAACAGAGAUUGGUGCUGAGCCAAAUGACAAAAUCUAUGUCAAAGUGGUCCAGCAGGUCCAUACUGAGAGAGCUUCUCAACAGGCAGCAGCUCAAGCUCCUCUGCACGCUGG
Gallus gallus (chicken) is the source of this 892-nucleotide long non-coding RNA. The record is from Ensembl. Lineage: Eukaryota; Metazoa; Chordata; Aves; Galliformes; Phasianidae.